UGGGGAAUAUUGCACAAUGGGGGAAACCCUGAUGCAGCGACGCCGCGUGGAGGAAGAAGGUCUUCGGAUUGUAAACUCCUGUUGUUGGGGAAGAUAAUGACGGUACCCAACAAGGAAGUGACGGCUAACUACGUGCCAGCAGCCGCGGUAAAACGUAGGUCACAAGCGUUGUCCGGAAUUACUGGGUGUAAAGGGAGCGCAGGCGGGAAGACAAGUUGGAAGUGAAAUCUAUGGGCUCAACCCAUAAACUGCUUUCAAAACUGUUUUUCUUGAGUAGUGCAGAGGUAGGCGGAAUUCCCGGUGUAGCGGUGGAAUGCGUAGAUAUCGGGAGGAACACCAGUGGCGAAGGCGGCCUACUGGGCACCAACUGACGCUGAGGCUCGAAAGUGUGGGUAGCAAAC
RNAcentral lists this ribosomal RNA (401 nucleotides) under uncultured bacterium. RNAcentral describes it as "bacterial SSU rRNA". It matches the Rfam family "Bacterial small subunit ribosomal RNA", at positions 355 to 773 of the family's 1533-position model. The record is from RNAcentral.